AACGAACGCUGGCGGCAUGCCUAACACAUGCAAGUCGAACGAGACCUUCGGGUCUAGUGGCGCACGGGUGCGUAACGCGUGGGAACCUGCCCUUAGGUUCGGAAUAACUCCCCGAAAGGGGUGCUAAUACCGGAUAAUGUCUUCGGACCAAAGAUUUAUCGCCUUUGGAUGGGCCCGCGUUGGAUUAGCUAGUUGGUAGGGUAAAAGCCUACCAAGGCGACGAUCCAUAGCUGGUCUGAGAGGAUGAUCAGCCACACUGGGACUGAGACACGGCCCAGACUCCUACGGGAGGCAGCAGUGGGGAAUAUUGGAUAAUGGGCGAAAGCCUGAUCCAGCAAUGCCGCGUGAGUGAUGAAGGCCUUAGGGUUGUAAAGCUCUUUUACCCGGGAUGAUAAUGACAGUACCGGGAGAAUAAGCUACGGCUAACUCCGUG
RNAcentral lists this ribosomal RNA (433 nucleotides) under uncultured bacterium. RNAcentral describes it as "partial 16S ribosomal RNA". It matches the Rfam family "Bacterial small subunit ribosomal RNA", at positions 29 to 507 of the family's 1533-position model. The record is from RNAcentral.